AAACCGUGUACGUACAAGCAGUAGGAGCACCUUCGUGGUGUGACUGCGUACCUUUUGUAUAAUGGGUCAGCGACUUAAUUUUAGUAGCAAGGUUAACCGUUUAGGGGAGCCGUAGGGAAACCGAGUCUUAACUGGGCGUACAGUUGCUAGGAUUAGACCCGAAACCAGGUGAUCUAGCCAUGGGCAGGUUGAAGGUUGAGUAACAUCAACUGGAGGACCGAACCGACUAAUGUUGAAAAAUUAGCGGAUGACUUGUGGCUAGGGGUGAAAGGCCAAUCAAACCUGGAGAUAGCUGGUUCUCCCCGAAAGCUAUUUAGGUAGCGCCUCGGACGAAUACUACUGGGGGUAGAGCACUGUUAAGGCUAGGGGGUCAUCCCGACUUACCAACCCUUUGCAAACUCCGAAUACCAGUAAGUACUAUCCGGGAGACACACGGCGGGUGCUAACGUCCGUCGUGGAGAGGGAAACAACCCAGACCGCCAGCUAAGGUCCCAAAGUAUAGCUAAGUGGGAAACGAUGUGGGAAGGCUCAGACAGCCAGGAUGUUGGCUUAGAAGCAGCCAUCAUUUAAAGAAAGCGUAAUAGCUCACUGGUCGAGUCGGCCUGCGCGGAAGAUGUAACGGGGCUAAGCUAUACACCGAAGCUGCGGCUACGUACCUUAGGGU
This 664-nucleotide ribosomal RNA is filed under the name Vibrio crassostreae ZF-91. RNAcentral's name for it is "bacterial LSU rRNA". It matches the Rfam family "Bacterial large subunit ribosomal RNA", at positions 553 to 1229 of the family's 2925-position model. Lineage: Bacteria; Pseudomonadati; Pseudomonadota; Gammaproteobacteria; Vibrionales; Vibrionaceae. The record is from RNAcentral.